GCAGCCGCGGUAAUACGUAGGUGGCAAGCGUUAUCCGGAAUUAUUGGGCGUAAAGGGUGCGUAGGCGGUAUAUUAAGUCUGAAGUAAAAUCGUUGGGCUCAACCCAAUCAAGCUUUGGAAACUGGUAUACUGGAGUGCAGGAGAGGCAGAUGGAAUUCCAUGUGUAGCGGUAAAAUGCGUAGAUAUAUGGAGGAACACCAGUGGCGAAGGCGGUCUGCUGGCCUGUAACUGACGCUGAAGCACGAAAGCGUGGGGAGCAAAUAGGAUUAGAUACCCC
This 277-nucleotide ribosomal RNA is filed under the name uncultured bacterium. RNAcentral's name for it is "partial 16S ribosomal RNA". It matches the Rfam family "Bacterial small subunit ribosomal RNA", at positions 511 to 788 of the family's 1533-position model. The record is from RNAcentral.